GAUGAACGCUGGCGGCGUGCCUAAUACAUGCAAGUCGAGCGGACGGACGAGGAGCUUGCUUGGUUGUCGAGUGCGGCGGAGGGGUGUGUAACACGUGUAUCACCCCCCUAUCAGUCUGAGAUCACCUCGGAAAACCGGAUAUUACACCGUAUGAUCUUUUGAACCGCGUGGUUCAUAAGUGAAAUACGGUCUUGCUGGCACUUAUAGAUGGAUCCGCGCUGCAUUAGCUAGUUGGUGAGGUAACGGCUUACCAAGGCAACGAAGCAUAGCCGAGCUGAGAGGGCGGUCAGCCGCCCUGGGAUUGAGACACGGUACAGAGUCCUACGGGAGGGGGCAGUAGGGAAACUGCAGCAAUGGGCGGAAGCCUGACGGAGCAACGCCGCGUGAGUGAGGAAGGUCUUCGGAUCGUAAAACUCUGUUAUUGGGGAAGAACAUAUGUGUAAGUAACUGGGCACGUCUUGACGGUACCUAAUCAGAAAGCCACGGCUAACUACGUG
RNAcentral lists this ribosomal RNA (497 nucleotides) under uncultured bacterium. Its description in RNAcentral is "partial 16S ribosomal RNA". It matches the Rfam family "Bacterial small subunit ribosomal RNA", at positions 28 to 507 of the family's 1533-position model. The record is from RNAcentral.